AAGAGAGAGAGAGUUCAAUAAUACCAUGCCUAGUACUGAAAGAAGAAAGUAAUGCAAUAGUUGAAAGUACUGCAUAUACACUUACCAUGAGAGAGAAGAGAUUGGAUUCUUCUUCCAUACUAGGCUUAUUUACAAGAGAUUUGAAUCAAACAACAGAAAGUUAAUGUAGUUGUGGCUUUUACUAGGCUGGGUUCUUUUUGGUUGAUGAGAGGCCUUUAACAACAGAUGCGCCACUAGGGG
This 240-nucleotide long non-coding RNA is filed under the name Vitis vinifera (wine grape). Its description in RNAcentral is "long non-coding RNA (VVIN_LNC002128)". The record is from RNAcentral. Lineage: Eukaryota; Viridiplantae; Streptophyta; Magnoliopsida; Vitales; Vitaceae.